UUCACGUUUAGAUUUUACGUUAAGCGUUUAGGACACAACAAUUGCUAUAUAUAAUGCUUAAAAAAAAUUCAGUCAAGUUUUUAAUUUAACGUGUGCUCAAAACUUCAGAAAUUUUGAUUGGUGUUCAAAUUAUAGAAGCAAAAAAGAGAAGUAAAGUUUUCUAGCUUUACUAUUUAAAGUUAGGAUACAUUAUUUUCAUAACAUAUUUAGUGAAGCAAAAUUUAUGAAUUACGUACUAAUAAUAUUAUUUGUGGCUUGCUCCUGCAUCAUUGGACUUUUAAUAGUAAUUUACAUAUGGAAUGAAAUAACAAAUAAAUCUAUUGCUAUGAUGCCUAACGUAAGCUGGUCACUCUCACACGAUAUGCACAACUGUGAUUUUCAUUCUACGCCUUUUAAAUCUACGAAGAUUUUUCUUAUACAAGAUUCGCCAGUUAAAAUAGAUUCAACAAACUGUAACAUGGAUUCAGAAGUAUUGGAUGAAACAUUGCAAUACUCUUUUAGUAAAAAACCGCCAUCAUAUAGUCUGCAACAAGUAUAAAAUCAAUAAAUAAAAAAAUGUCGAUAGCGA
Molecule: long non-coding RNA, 568 nt
Organism: Hydra vulgaris (swiftwater hydra)
Lineage: Eukaryota; Metazoa; Cnidaria; Hydrozoa; Anthoathecata; Hydridae
Source: RefSeq, a predicted model, not a curated record